UACGUAGGGGGCUAGCGUUGUCCGGAUUUAUUGGGCGUAAAGAGCGUGUAGGCGGCUAUUUAAGUCCUGCGUGAAAUCCUGCGGCUCAACCGCAGACGGUCGUGGGAAACUGGAUGGCUAGAGUGCGGUAGGGGAGAUUGGAAUUCCUGGUGUAGCGGUGGAAUGCGCAGAUAUCAGGAGGAACACCAAUGGCGAAGGCAGAUCUCUGGGCCGUAACUGACGCUGAGGAGCGAAAGCAUGGGGAGCGAACAGG
RNAcentral lists this ribosomal RNA (253 nucleotides) under uncultured bacterium. RNAcentral describes it as "partial 16S ribosomal RNA". It matches the Rfam family "Bacterial small subunit ribosomal RNA", at positions 524 to 776 of the family's 1533-position model. The record is from RNAcentral.